Molecule: small RNA, 178 nt
Filed under: Podarcis lilfordi (Lilford's wall lizard)
Lineage: Eukaryota; Metazoa; Chordata; Lepidosauria; Squamata; Lacertidae
Source: RNAcentral
UUCCAAAUGUUUAGUCAGAAUCUCCUUUCUUGUAACUUGAAGCCAUUGGUUCGAAUCCUACCCUCCAGAGCAGGAGAAAACAAGCAUGCUCCCUCCUCCUUAAGAUAUUUGAAGAUGGCUAUCAUAUCUCCUCUCAGUCUCCUCUUUUCCAGGCUAAACAUACCCAGCUCCUUCAAGC